Long non-coding RNA from Brienomyrus brachyistius, 3285 nucleotides. RefSeq lists it as uncharacterized. The transcript has 3 exons. Lineage: Eukaryota; Metazoa; Chordata; Actinopteri; Osteoglossiformes; Mormyridae. The record is from RefSeq and is a predicted model, not a curated record.
CCUCAGCGUUCUGUUUACUGCUCCAGCCUCCGAUUGCCUGUGCAGAAAUCUGAGAUUCUCUCCUGUGAAUAUUUUUAUUAAUAAAAUUUUUACACCAGUUUCAUUUUCAGCCAAUGGAGAACAUCUAUCCCUAACCAGUGUAUUGCUUUAUGGCUGUUGCACGCUCCAUGGUGCGUCUCAGUCCCCUUGUGGACCCCUUCCUGUACAUUUUCAUGAGAAAGGGAGCCAGAGACACAAUGGAGGCCUUCCCCUGCUUCAGGAGGGUGUUUGGAUGGAGCACAACUAGAUCUGAUGCAGAAACUACAUAGGUUUUCUCUGGGUUUCUUCGACCCCCCCACUGUCCAUAGAUGCCCUGACGUUAACGGGAGAUCCCAAAGUGUACCCCGUGAUGAGUUUGUGCUCUAUCCUGGGUUACUCCCUGCCUUGAGCCCACAGCUUCUGGAAUAGCUUCUUCCCCACACCCUGAAUCACCCUGCAUAUGACAAGCAGGCAUAAAAGAUGGAUGGAUAUAUUUCUUAUCUUCUAUUAUUUUGACGUUAAGACAAAGUUUCAUAUAAAUGCCCCCUUUAUAUGUGUAAAAUUGUUCCAUAAUCAUUGUAAAAUUAACAUAACUGAACAUUUAUACUGUCAUGACCUGCUCGUCGGCUCCUCGUGUGUGCCACGCCCCCCUGAUUACCCACGUGUUCUUCCCCGAUUGUAUCCAGCUGUGUCUAGUUACUUUGAUCAGUCCUGUGUAUUUCAGUCCGUGUCUUACCCGAGUCUUUUGUUUGUCAUUGAUGUUAGUCGAUGUUCGUGCCCCGUCGUCUGAAUAAAUCCCCAGUUUACCCCGUGCUUUGCCUGCCUGCUCCUUUGCCCGCUCUCCCGCCUGAGCGAUCACCUGCUUAACCAGCGCGAUCGCUACUUAAUCGUGACAUAUACUUUGUUUAGAGUAUUAGAUGAUAAACCAUGAUUCCUGCUAAAUCACUGAGAUAUAAAAAAUAUGUAGUGCUCUACAGAGAGCUGUCCGAAUGACACUGAGAAACAUUGUGUUAGCCCAGCUUAAUUUUUUCAAGCAAAUUAUGCAGGAUUUUUUGAGGUUUUUCAUUGUUUUUUUUCGUAUAAUGUCCAGCUGCGUGUUCAGAUCAUUUUGGUUUUUUGACGCAUCACACUUUCCAUUCAAUUUUUCUGUUUAUUCGUGAAAAUUCCAGUUUCAAACAUUCUAAUAUGAACAGAUGAACAAAGAGCUGCUGGCAGUGAUUUUCCAUAUAUGACAGGAAAGAUUUUUUACAAAAAUCAAACCUCUAAGGGCAUCUUUCUACUAACUGAAAAAAAAAUUGGCAAGUCACGAAAAGAGGUAAAAUGCACUUGCUGCACAUCACCAUCACUUGCUUACCACACAUCACCAAGAGAACGUUCAAAAAGCAAACCACAGACAACUUAUUGAUGUUGAGUGUAUUUUUAAUAAAUGUUAAGUAACAUACAAAUGUAGAAAAUCUCUAAAAGACUCUAUUGCUGAGUCAACUAAGUUAUAAGUACAGAUUUUAGAGUGAUCUUCACACAAAUUUUCAUUAUCUGUGUUACUAAAUGCAGCUAUAAUGAUGCUAUAAUCGCACCAAAAUGUCACGGGCAUGAAGUGGUUAAAAAAGAAACAAACAAAGGAAAAACACAGUUUAAAAGCGCUUAAGUAAUAACAGAAAAAAUGCAGCUUUACCCAGAGGAACCCACUCAGCUGCAUUGAUCACAAACUUGGGGAAAGGUAACCCAAGUCUGCUGUUAUGUGCCAUAAGAGUUCUGGAUAUGUCUACAGGACACCUCAGUCUUCUGCCCCAAGCGCCGCUCACUACUUGCUGCUUCAGCCCGCUUCCCAGUUUCUGGCCACGCCCCUUCUGCCCUCUGACCUCUGAUCCUGGCCCUGUGUUCCGGUCGAGGAUAAACCCUGCUGAACACACCCAGCUCGAGCUCUUGCUCAAGCUUUUGCUAUUGCUGUGUUGGUUUGCUGUUUCUGAUUGACUUCUUGUGUAUGACGGUUCUGAUUGUUUGGUUUCUGGUUUUCUGCUUCGCGCCUUUUUGUACCUUUGCCUUUGGUUUGUUUGUCUUCUGGUUUUGACCUCUCACUUAGCUCCUGACUGCUCUCUUUGCCUCGCCCCUUCGGAUACCUUGUUUCGGCCUUUGUGUUUCCUGUAUGUUCAUGUCUGUUAGGUGUGUAAGGAGUGACUGCCUCUUUGUUUAUGUGUGGUUUACUGUGGUUUUGGGUAGGGAGUUUGGUUUAGUCUUUGUCAUUUCGUUUUCUCUUGUUUUCAUUACCUUUAGAGUUAGCUUAGUUUGGGACGUGUUCCUUAGCCAUUUUGGUUGUUGUUUUGGCCUGGGUCACUCUCGAAGUCUGUUGCGUCUUGUGUUUGUAAAAGUGUCUGUGAAUAAAUAUAAAACAAUACAAAAAAAAUCCCUUAGUUUCCCGUGUUCCCUUUUCCCAUCCCCUGGUUGUCUCAUUUUCCCCUCUCCUUUCCCUUUACCUUUCUGUCGGUCCUCAACCCUAGACUGGCGAUCGUAACACUGCAAACAGCAGUAUAGUGUGUGCUUUUCAGUCUUGAAAGUUGGUCUUCAAGCUCUGAGCUUUAUGGGAGAAUUCGCCCCCCCUCCAAUUCAAUUAUGAUUUUUUUUUGUAGCACAGCAAAUGUGUAUCAGAACUUUCUAGGAAAAUGAAAGUUUAGGGCAUGAGUGAGUCCAAAUAUCAUUGCCACUGCAGAAGGCACAUUCUCCAGGUUCUGCAACAUGAUCAGUCCUUCAAUAAUGAAUCCCACGUCAUCUGGCUCAGUCUCUGCAGUGUCCGUCAUGGCGCUCCCUGUACCAUUGUCAUUCAUGCCAUAGUGUUUUAUUAGAACAAGAAGUCCUACUUCAAAGUUUGUAAGGUCCCAGAAGAAGAUCAAGUGGAGCUGGUGAAACAAACACUUGAAGGGCGAGGCGGAACUAACCGUAAGGCUUAUGCUGCAAGAUAGCACUACAGACAUCGAGGAGGUCUUUAAAAUUCUUGACAAAGUGUAUUGUGAUAAAACCCCUGUAGGAAUAAUAUGAACCCUCUGAGGUUAAUCUUAUCAAAUAAGGGUAGGGAACACACUUUCACUGACUGGGGCAUGGUCACACAUUUCAUUCAAUAUCAUAAACUUCCCAUUCGCGGCUGUCAGCUUGACCCAUUUAGAAGGUGAUAGCUUUGAUUAUCAUCAGCGCCAUUAAAGGACAUAUUUGCAAAGUAAACUAAGAUUAAGAUGACUUCAUUAAGAUGAAUGCCAAAACAAAUAUAUAAGAAAUUAU